This is a long non-coding RNA of Trachymyrmex septentrionalis, 290 nucleotides long. RefSeq lists it as uncharacterized. The record is from RefSeq and is a predicted model, not a curated record. The transcript is spliced from 3 exons. Lineage: Eukaryota; Metazoa; Arthropoda; Insecta; Hymenoptera; Formicidae.
UGCGCCAUCGACCGAGAUCCGAAUCGCACAUACGAGUGAAACGGUUGAAUACGCAUCGCUGCGUAUGAAUUUCACAUGGCACUACGUAUUGCGCUGUAUCAACUGAUCAACAUCGAUCGUCGUAGAUCCGUGAUCUGAGAAGUAACGCUUUCGCAGAGCUUGUGAAUUUGCCAUCCGUUCGGAUCGUUUACGCCACAAUUGCCACAAAGGAAUAUCAAAAAAUCACCAUACUGAUGAUUUUCGCGUUUAAACGGAUUAAUCGAGUGGAUUUUACAUGUUCUACAUUUUAC